Long non-coding RNA from Corticium candelabrum, 584 nucleotides. RefSeq lists it as uncharacterized. Lineage: Eukaryota; Metazoa; Porifera; Homoscleromorpha; Homosclerophorida; Plakinidae. The transcript has 5 exons. The record is from RefSeq and is a predicted model, not a curated record.
GUUGAACUAACUGCAAACUUUGGCAAAGAGGAAGUUUUACUGUGUCAAUUUAUUAUAGGUGGAAAGUCAACAUUUGCUGAGACACCUUACUCCACAUGACUAUUGUAGAGUAGACAGAGUAAGUUGUGGAGAUGUUAUUAUCUGGUAAUAGAGAUCCUGUUGGUACUUGUUUUAGGAUGCAUUCGGUUAAUGGCAGAUGUGUGUUCAAUUAUCUGAAUCAGCAUUUCAACGAAGAAGGAGUGUUGUGGUGGACAACACAAAUCUUGAUGUAGAGUCUCGUGUCAGAUACAUAAAUGUUGCUGUGCAUGCUAAUAUUCCUGCAAGGUGCUUUGUUUUAACAACAAGUUUGGAACAGUCAAAGCACAAUAGCAAAUUUCUUGGUCUUUGUUCAUCUUCUCAACCUGAUCACAACCCUGUGGACGAACUUGCUUAAAACAGCUAUAGGCAGAUCAAAGUUUGUGAAACCAUCAAUCUUUGAAGAAAACCUCUGGAGAUCAUUAAUAUCAAUUUUAUUCCACAAUUCAAAUGUGAGAGUGACAGGAAACUAUCCUAAUUUUUUUGUCUAAAUGGUAAUGUCAAUAGCA